AUAGAGGCCUACCAUGGUGGUAACGGGUAACGGGGUGUUAGGGCACGACACCGGAGAGGGAGCCUGAGAAACGGCUACCACAUCCAAGGAUGGCAGCAGGCGCGCAAAUUACCCAAUCCCGACACGGGGAGGUAGUGACAAUAAAUAACAAUACGGGGUUCUUUCGGAUCUCGUAAUUGGAAUGAGUACAAUUUAAAUCUCUUAACGAGGAACAAUUGGAGGGCAAGUCUGGUGCCAGCAGCCGCGGUAAUUCCAGCUCCAAUAGCGUAUAUUAAAGUUGUUGCAGUUAAAAAGCUCGUAGUUGAAUUUCGGGGUUAGUAGGUUGGUCAUGCCUCUGGUAUGUACUGGUCUCACUGAUUCCUCCUUCCUGAUGAACCGUAAUGCCAUUAAUUUGGUGUUGCGGGGAAUUUGGACUGUUACUUUGAAAAAAUUAGAGUGUUUAAAGCAAGCUAACGCUUGAAUACAUUAGCAUGGAAUAAUGAAAUAGGACGUUCGAUCCUAUUUUGUUGGUUUCUAGGAUUGACGUAAUGAUUAAUAGGGAUAGUUGGGGGCAUUAGUAUUCAAUUGUCAGAGGUGUAAUUCUUGGAUUUAUUGAAGACUAACUACUGCGAAAGCAUUUGCCAAGGAUGUUUUCAUUAAUCAAGAACGAAAGUUAGGGGAUCGAAGACGAUCAGAUACCGUCGUAGUCUUAACCAUAAACUAUGCCGACUAGGGAUCGGAUGAUG
RNAcentral lists this ribosomal RNA (725 nucleotides) under uncultured fungus. Its description in RNAcentral is "SSU rRNA". It matches the Rfam family "Eukaryotic small subunit ribosomal RNA", at positions 333 to 1062 of the family's 1831-position model. Lineage: Eukaryota; Fungi. The record is from RNAcentral.